UACGAAGGGUGCUAGCGUUGUUCGGAAUUACUGGGCGUAAAGCGCACGUAGGCGGACUUGCCAGUCAGGGGUGAAAUCCCGAGGCUCAACCUCGGAACUGCCUCCGAUACAGCAAGUCUCGAGUCCGGAAGAGGUGAGUGGAAUUCCUAGUGUAGAGGUGAAAUUCGUAGAUAUUAGGAAGAACACCAGUGGCGAAGGCGGCUCACUGGUCCGGUACUGACGCUGAGGUGCGAAAGCGUGGGGAGCAAACAGG
Molecule: ribosomal RNA, 253 nt
Filed under: uncultured bacterium
Lineage: Bacteria
Description: partial 16S ribosomal RNA
Rfam family: Bacterial small subunit ribosomal RNA
Source: RNAcentral